CCUACGGGGGGCAGCAGUGGGGAAUAUUGCACAAUGGGGGAAACCCUGAUGCAGCGACGCCGCGUGAGUGAAGGAGUAUUUCGGUAUGUAAAGCUCUAUCAGCAGGGAAGAAACCCACCCUUUGGGGUGGCUGACGGUACCUGACUAAGAAGCCCCGGCUAACUACGUGCCAGCAGCCGCGGUAAUACGUAGGUGGCAAGCGUUAUCCGGAUUUACUGGGUGUAAAGGGCGUGUAGGCGGGAAAGCAAGUCAGAUGUGAAAACCACGGGCUCAACCUGUGGCCUGCAUUUGAAACUGUUUUUCUU
This 305-nucleotide ribosomal RNA is filed under the name uncultured bacterium. Its description in RNAcentral is "bacterial SSU rRNA". It matches the Rfam family "Bacterial small subunit ribosomal RNA", at positions 338 to 643 of the family's 1533-position model. The record is from RNAcentral.